Molecule: ribosomal RNA, 500 nt
Filed under: uncultured bacterium
Lineage: Bacteria
Description: partial 16S ribosomal RNA
Rfam family: Bacterial small subunit ribosomal RNA
Source: RNAcentral
AUUGAACGCUGGCGGAAUGCUUUACACAUGCAAGUCGAACGGCAGCACGGACUUCGGUCUGGUGGCGAGUGGCGAACGGGUGAGUAAUGUAUCGGAACGUGCCCAGUCGUGGGGGAUAACGUAGUGAAAAUUACGCUAAUACCGCAUACGAUCUAUGGAUGAAAGCGGGGGAUCGCAAGACCUCGCGCGAUUGGAGCGGCCGAUAGCAGAUUAGGUAGUUGGUGGGGUAAAGGCCCACCAAGCCAACGACCUGUAUCUGGUCUGAGAGGACGACCAGCCACACUGGAACUGGGACACGGUCCAGACUCCUACGGGAGGCAGCAGUGGGGAAUUUUGGCCAAUGGGCGAAAGCCUGAUCCAGCCAUGCCGCGUGCAGGAUGUAGGCCCUCGGGUUGUAAACUGCUUUUGUACAGAACGAAAAGGUUUCUACUAAUACUAGGAGCUCAUGACGGUACUGUAAGAAUAAGCACCGGCUAACUACGUGCCAGCCGCCGCCGUAA